UACGAAGGGGGCUAGCGUUGCUCGGAAUUACUGGGCGUAAAGGGCGCGUAGGCGGUCCUGUUAGUCAGGCGUGAAAUUCCUGGGCUUAACCUGGGGGCUGCGCUUGAUACAGCUGGACUUGAGGUCAGAAGAGGGUCGUGGAAUUCCCAGUGUAGAGGUGAAAUUCGUAGAUAUUGGGAAGAACACCGGUGGCGAAGGCGGCGACCUGGUCUGAUACUGACGCUGAGGCGCGACAGCGUGGGGAGCAAACAGGAUUAGAUACCCUGGUAGUCCACGCCGUAAACGAUGUGCGCUGGAUGUUGGGGCCCUUAGGGCUUCAGUGUCGUAGCUAACGCGGUAAGCGCACCGCCUGGGGAGUACGGCCGCAAGGUUGAA
Molecule: ribosomal RNA, 375 nt
Filed under: uncultured bacterium
Lineage: Bacteria
Description: bacterial SSU rRNA
Rfam family: Bacterial small subunit ribosomal RNA
Source: RNAcentral